AACAACAAAUUGACCAAUUAACUACUUGGGACCAAUGCCCUCAAGUAAAGAUCACAUGAAUCAACUAAAUGAAGCACAACAUCAAGAACCAUAAGGAUACAUAUCAGUUUUUGAUCCUAGUUCAGAGAUUAAAAAGGUGAACCCUUACAACAAACUGUUCAGUUGUACUGCAAGCUACGUGAAACAUAUACUUUGUUAGAUCAUAACACAUGAUCCAAGUUAUUCUUUGCCAUGCAUCUCACUCUCCUUCGCUGAGAAUUGGAACAAUCAGAGGCUUCAGCUGUGCAAGAUAGACGAUUGCCCACCUAACAAGGGAAGAAAAGCGUAAGCAUAGAUGAAACUAACAAAAAUAAUAUUUUAAGUUUCACCUGCUGAAGUAACGAGAGAGAAAAUAUUUCCCCAAGUAGGCAAACUAAACUUCCCGUUGUGCCACUAAGUAUGAAUGAGGCAAAUCUGAUAUACACCUUUGCUAAGCAUCAAAAAUUUUCUAGGAAUGAUUACUAAAAAGGAGCAAAAAGAGUUAAAGCUCAUCUCUUAAGUGAGGUUUCAAGGUAUGUACAUCCCAUGUUAUCACCUUCUACUGGCCCAUUACCAAAUUCAACAACCGUUUGUCUUUGUCAGCAUGUAUUCCCUGUAAUCAUGAUCCUCCAUGACACAUUUGAUGCUACCUAUAGUCAGCUUAGCAUCAAUUUUGGACAUUUGUCUCUGAUGCAACCUAUAGUCAGCUUAGCAUCAAUUUGAUUCACUCAAGUUCUAAGAUUAAGGCAAUUACUCUUCAGAUUCAGUCAGAUAAAGUCAUCUGGCUGUUGGAACCAUAAGGAUACAUAUCAGUUUUUGAUCCUAGUUCAGAGAUUAAAAAGAUGAACCCUUACAACAAACUGUUAAGUUGUACUGCAAGCAACAUGGAAUAUACUUUGUUAGAUCAUAACACAUGAUCCAAGUUAUUCUUUGCCAUGCAUCUCACUCUCCUUCGCUGAGAAUUGGGACAAUCAGAGGUUUCAGCUGUGCAAGAUAGACGAUUGCCCUCCUAACAAGGGAAGAAAUGCGUAAGCAUGGAUGAAACUAAGAAAAAUAAUAUUUUAAGUUUCACCUGCUGAAGUAAUGAGAGAGAUAAUAUUUCCCCAAUCAGGCAAACUUAACUUCCCGUUGUGCCACUAAGAAUGAGGCAAAUCUGAUGUACACUUUUGCUAAGCAUAAAAAAUUUUCUAGGAAUGAUUACUAAAAAGGAGAAAAAAGAGUUAAAGCUCCAACUUAAGUGAGGUUUCAAGGUACAUCCCAUGUUAUCACCUUCUACUGGCCCAUUACCAAAUUCAACAACCGUUUGUCUUUGUCAGCAUG
Molecule: long non-coding RNA, 1338 nt
Filed under: Musa acuminata (dwarf banana)
Lineage: Eukaryota; Viridiplantae; Streptophyta; Magnoliopsida; Zingiberales; Musaceae
Description: long non-coding RNA (MACU_LNC001872)
Source: RNAcentral